Molecule: long non-coding RNA, 5635 nt
Filed under: Sus scrofa (pig)
Lineage: Eukaryota; Metazoa; Chordata; Mammalia; Artiodactyla; Suidae
Description: lncRNA (ENSSSCG00005011789.1)
Source: RNAcentral
GCAGGUGUGGCCCUAAAAAGAAAAUAAAAAAUAAAAUCACAUGCCUUAGUCCUUGUUUCUCCAAGGAAAGGUGCCCAUAUGUCACUGAGUGCUGUCAAUGCAUUUGCUUCUUUUCUUCCUUCUAUGUCCUCGCCAUGGUUAAAAUGAUGCCACCGCUUGAGACGUGGGGGACGUGUGCUGUGUUCAUUUUCUUAGGUGCACGAGAACGUCUGUCUUCUCCCACCAUAUCAGAUACAAACCUGGAACGGGAAGGCCAGAAACAACCCUUGUUAAAAAGCUCACGCUACCCUGGCGACUUGAGUUAGAUGACCCUCAUACAAAGCUGUCCCCUCUCCUCAUGUGCUUCUAGUGACUUCCAACUGGGAACCUUAUGGUUUCACAUGGAAGUCAAAAAGGAGAACACGGAUACCCAGCCAGCGUGAGGGGUUUUUUUUUGGGGGGGGGGGGGGUGGGGGGGGGGAGAGUUGUGGUUUUUUCUGUUUUUUUUUUUAAUGCUGUAAGGCAGUAGCAUGCAUAUAUCACAUGUAAAUCAGGGUCAGACAGGGUGACAGUCAGCUAUGCCGCUAAUGAGAAAUUAUGCAAAAUUAGAUGGAUUAUGUACACUUUUUCAGCUUUUGUCUCUUCGCAGUGGAGAUCUUUAAUUAAAAUACACAGAAGAGAGGCCCAGGGUGUAACUGUUAGAUAUUAUGUGCUCUGGUUGUAAGGGACUACCCUUCCCAGUUAUUUUUAUGGGUCAUUCUGUCCAGUGGCAACUUAGAAUAGACAGCCAUCCCCCAGCUUCCCAAAAGGAAUGUCUGUUUUCUCACUUUCUACUAAUUACUUCAGGUCUAAGAGUAAGGACUUGUCACAGAGAAUGCAAAUUAGUCAGUGUCAGGGUACUACUAAAUGGGGAUUAUUUGGGUCUGAGUUUGAUCCACUUAGGGCAGAGUAACAAGAUCACUGACGAAUGGCCACAUCCAUGCACGCUGUGUAGACAUACAGAACACCAGCAAAACUCCAACAUCAUCUUCCUAAUACUCUGUCUGUUGAUAAUAAAAACAUAUAAAUAUUACUUUUUGUUUGUUUUUGUUUUUCUUUAGGGCCACACAUGUGGCAUAUGGAAGUUCCCAGGCUAGGGAUCCAGUCGGAUCUGUAGCUGCCGGCCUAUACCAGAGCCACAGCAACGCGGGAUCCGAGCCGCAUCUGCAACCUACACCACAGCUCACAGCAAUGCUGGAUCCUUAACCCACUGAGCAAGGCCAGGGCUCAAACCCGCAACCCCAUGGUUCCUAGUCGGAUUCGUUAACCACUGAGCCAUGACGGAACUCUAUUUUUCUUUUAUUUGAUGAACACCUGAAGAACCUAUUAUAUACCAAGUAUCUUUUGGUGGCUUUAGGACAGACAGCAUUCAUUUCUCAAUCUUUAGCUGUGCCAGAGCCGUCUGACACACACUUCUGUUAAUCACCCUGGCUCAUGAUUCCUUCCCUUCAAUCAAGCAUUCAUUCACACAGGUUUUAACCUCAAGAGCCCUGAGGUUAAAGAUGGAUUUAAGAUGGGGGGUGGUGUUCCUGAAAAAGUGGACAUUGAACCACAUCUUUAAAGAAAGUAUUAUAUUCUAGACUGGACUAGUGGAGAAGCCUAUUCUAAACAUGGAUGUCCCAUUCUCUUCUGAUUUGGAUCUUCUUGACAACAACCUAAAACUUAGAAAUCCUGCAUCAGUUACUACGCAUCAUUCCCUGCUCGACUUACGCAGUCCUGUGCUUCGAUAACAGUCUGUACAUUGUCAAAAAGUACACAGUUAUGUAACUUAUUGUUACCGAAUAUAAUUUGAUUUGAAUUGAUCAGCAUUGCUGGUGCAAUAUUCACUAGUGUUGUAUAGAUUCUGAUUUUAUUUUGAUUAUACUGUUCUGCUGAACUGAACAAAAAAAAAAGGUCUGUGUACAGAGCCCUGUGGCAUGGAAUGGCAAUAUCCUUUAUGUAUGAAACACUGAUAGUUUUGAUUAGCUUCUUCGGGAUAGAGACAUGGAUUGGUCCUUUGAGCUCAAAUGGCAUCAUUUAUUUGGUAUCGUAUUCAUAAACUGAAAAACAGGGUGGGCCAUAAAAAAAUAACCCCAUAUGUUAAAAUAAGCAUAUAAUCCAAUGCUUUUUUUAUGCUGAUUUCCCUUAAGAACUGUGGCUGAGAAAUUGUUGUUGGUGUUUCUCUUGCCUUCAUGAUAAAAACCCUUCCAAAACUCCUAUCUGUGUUAUCUAUGCAGCAAACUGGGGAUGCUCACUGCGUUGCCGUGCGUUGUGGUAUAGAUUACAGACGUGGCUCAGAUCCCGCAUUGGAGUGGCUGUGGUGUAGGCGGCCAGCUGUAGCUCCAGUUCGACCCAUAGCCUGAGAACUUCCAUAGCUGCAGGUCCAGCCCUAAAAAGACAACAGCAACAACAACAAAAAAGCCACACCGGUACUGGGUUCACAGGAAAGUAGAUGUGUGAUGCAGUAUUAAUUAUUGGGCCAGUAAAAUGUCUCUAGUUUAGGCUUUUGGAGAGAAAGUCAUUUUACAUUAAUUUGACCUAAAUUACGGGAUCCUUCUAAGAAAACAAGUUGUGUUGCUUCAAGGCAUAUAAGUUGUUGACUAAAGGUUGUUUCCAAUUCAUAAACACAGCUUGACAGAAACUGGCAAUGACCAUUUGUUAUCAGCACAGUUAAUGCAAAAAUGGAUGCUCGGAAAAGCCUGAUGUUUUCCCAUGAAUAAAUGAAACAUCUGCCUACAAUCCUAUUUACGUCACUGACUUAUGUGCUGGUCCCCUUUUCUCUCACCAUGCAUAAUUCUCCUCACUCAUUUGAGGGGAAGGAAAAAAAAAAAAACACAAUUAAAACUUUGCUCACCUUCUUUUUCCUGCCUCGAGAUAAUUCUUGCUUCCCGAGGAGAUACGGAGGGAGGAGGCUUUCAGAACCCCGUGUUGCUCCUUCCUUGAAGCAGGAAGGCUCUAGAUAAAAAACAGAGCCAAUGACGUUGGUAUAUUUAUUUUGGCUCUAACUAAGGGUUGGUUUUUUUUUUUUUCCUAUUAAUAAAAAUACUACUUUAGUGGUUACCGUGGGGAGGGGCUAAGAAGGGGGUUGAGAGACACAAACUACUAUGUAUAUAAUAAAUAAGCUACUAGGAUAUAUUACACAGCACGGGGACAAUAGCCCAUCUUUUGUAGUCACUACACAUGGAGUAUAACCUUUAAAAAUGAUGCAUCACUGUGCUGUACACCUGAAGCUUAGAGUAUAAAUCAGCUACACCUCAAUUUUUUAAAUACUUCAAACUUUAAAAAAAUUCAAAACAUCCAUAAAUAAAAAUAAAAGCAAAAAGCUGAGGAUUAAAAAAAAAAAUGUCACUUAACUUACCUUGUCUUCAUCAAACGGGCAGAGGGUCAAUUAAAAUUGUCAUUUGUGGUGUCCGGGCUCCUCCCCAAGGCUGGAGUAGUAGGCGUCACAAAACUGGGCAAAACUCACUCGUGGGUCCUUUUUCUCAGCUGCUUCUGCCUUUGCUUCCUACAAAGCUCUCUUUCCCAGCUGCCUGGGGAAAACGAGGACUUUGGUGUUGAAAUAACUCCUCUGGAACCUACAGUUGUGCCAUAAAAACAUCUGUGCACACACGAAGUGUCAUCCUCUUGAAUGGUCAUGUUUCUUAGUGAAUUUUAUUUCUGUGCCUCGUGAAAGGUCCAUGUUAAAGAUGCCCCUGGCAUGAGUCAGUACACGCCACUGGGACACACAUCAGUGAGGUCUUCUGUAUCAAUAUCCAACGUCUGUGGAAGCGGUCUCCAAAAUUUGCAUUCAGUUCCUUUUAUAAGAAAUUAAGUUUUGUAGUUCCUGUUGUGGAUCAGCAGGUUAAGAACCCAACCUAGUGUCCCUGAGGAUGCAGGUUUAAUCCUUGGCCUCACUCAGUGGGUUAAGUGAUCUGGCAUUGCCGGGAGCUGUGGUGUAGGCUCGGAUCUAGCGUUGGCUGUGGUGUAGGCCAGCAGGUUGCAGCUCCAAUUCGACCCCUAGCCAGGGAACAUCCAUAUGCUUCAGGUGCAGCCCUAACAAUAAAAAAAAAGUUUUAAGAGAUACCUUGACAGAGACAUAAAAGAAAAAUGAAUUACUUGUGUUAAAAUUAUAUAUGCCUCUAUACCAACUGUUGUUGCGCUGCCUCAUAUGCAUUAAUUGGCCAUCUUUUAUUUUAUGUCAUCCUUCGUGUUUUAAAAUGAUCGUUUUUGUUGGCAAAACCAAGGCAUGAGGUCACUUGCCAGAGGACAUGGCUGGUAUUGUAGGUAGGCAGUUGGGUCCCUGGGAGAGUCGUCGUAAAAAGGGAAAUGAGACUCCUGGUGAAGGGUCUGAGGUGUAAUGACCUUUGCCUUCUAGAACCUCCGAGAGCCAUACUUUGAGUCCAUUGUAGUGAACACAAACCCACAGAUCCUUAAAUUGUACAGUCUUAUUCAUUUAACGCGAAGGAGCCCGACAAAUGGACUUAUUAGGACAUAUUCCAAUCUAGCAGUAUAUUUAGCAGAAGAAAGGCCAAAGGUCAGCAUCUCUUGCAGAGGCUGCGAACUGUAUGUUUUCAAUAAGCGGCUCUCAGCUUCAGAAGGCAUUUCUGUGUUCGGAUAGAUGAACACACAGGAACUCAAAUCGAGAGGCCCCGAGUGAAGAGGUGCUACUGGGUUUUAGUUCCUUGUUGUUUUUUCAGCCGGGUGUUUUGAAAUCAGUGGCUGCUUCAUAAGCUGAUAAAGCCGUGCGUACAAGCUGGAGCCACGAGAAGCGGGUUUGAGUAAGUCUAGACACUUGGUUAUCUUCUGUCUAGCAUUCAUUUGUGUCGUGGGCGUCACACCCGGAGGAUUAGUGUUUCGUUAUGCAGAAGCUGUUUUAUCUUUGGCUUCCUUCUAACAGCUCAGCGUGAAUUCUGAGUGGGGAGAGAGAGAAUAAAGGCCGGGGCUUUCGUGACUUCGGGGAUCCCACCAGAACAGGCUGGAUGGACUCUAACAGGGACGGCUAAGCAUGACACCCUCCCUCUUUGACAGGUGACUUGGUUAGAUACGUCUUGCCACCUCAUUUUGUGGAGCGUGUACCAAGGAAUUGACCAGGCUUCCCUGAACAGCGAGAUGAGAGGGUAGAAAUUCAUCUCUGUAUCUCGUAUCUCACACCUGGCAUAAAUGAUAACCAAGAAUAAGGUUUCUGUUGAGCCGUGGAAAUCUAGGAGCCUGGGGGACCCCUGUGUGUGUGUGUGUGUGUGUGUGUGUGUGUGUGUGUGUGUGUGUAAAAUCACUGCCUGGUCACAUUUUAAUUAGCUUCUUUAGGCUCCAGAAAGCAGUGCGAUUUUUAGCCCCCAAAUUAAGCAUCUCUCCUACAAGCAGCAUUCUCUUUUCAAAACUUAAAAUGAUUUUUCCUUACUCUCUGACUUCCUGAGAGUAUGUUUCACUUUUAGAAUGCCUCCAGGAAAGGAAAUUAACCCAUGUGCCCAAAAACCUGCGUCUUUAACAUCUCCUUCCUUAAGCUGCAUUCUUCCAAAGGAUAUCUGGGCUUCAGGCUAAAUUCAUUCGGUCCUCGAAGUCAGCACUGGGUCAGGUGGAAACAGCCAGCCUACCAUCACACAUGCAGGCUUUUUCUCCGAACGCCAAAAUAUCAUGUCAUGUGAAUUAAAAAAAAAAAAAA